Molecule: unclassified non-coding RNA, 205 nt
Filed under: Hevea brasiliensis (rubber tree)
Lineage: Eukaryota; Viridiplantae; Streptophyta; Magnoliopsida; Malpighiales; Euphorbiaceae
Source: RNAcentral
CUUGAGCAUCGCACCGACAACUCCAUUGGUCGAACGCUAGAGAAAGUCGAAAACAAAAUGAAAGCAGUGGUGAUAACAGCACUAGGUGGCCCGGAGGUGCUGCAAUUGCAAGAGGUAGAUGACCCGCAAAUCAAAGACGAUGAGGUCCUCGUCAAGGUCGAAGCUACGGCCCUCAACCGGGCGGAUACGCUCCAAAGAAUAGGCA